UCGAGAAUCUUCGGCAAUGGGCGCAAGCCUGACCGAGCGACGCCGCGUGGAGGAUGAAGGCCUUCGGGUUGUAAACUCCUGUCGAGGGGGAGGAAGGGGCGACCUUGACCGAUCCCUGGAGGAAGCACGGGCUAAGUUCGUGCCAGCAGCCGCGGUAAGACGAACCGUGCAAACGUUAUUCGGAAUCACUGGGCUUAAAGCGGGUGUAGGCGGAUGGGAACGUCGGAACCUGAAAGCCCCCGGCUCAACCGGGGAAGUGGGGCCGAAACGACCCGUCUGGAGGGACGUAGGGGGAUCUGGAACUUCCGGUGGAGCGGUGAAAUGCGUUGAGAUCGGAAGGAACGCCCGUGGCGAAAGCGAGAUCCUGGACGUUUUCUGACUCUGAGACGCGAAAGCGAGUGGAGCAAACG
This 410-nucleotide ribosomal RNA is filed under the name uncultured bacterium. RNAcentral describes it as "bacterial SSU rRNA". It matches the Rfam family "Bacterial small subunit ribosomal RNA", at positions 355 to 774 of the family's 1533-position model. The record is from RNAcentral.